CGCCGCUGCAGAGUUUGAUCCUGGCUCAGGACGAACGCUGGCGGCGUGCCUAACACAUGCAAGUCGAACGGAGUUACGGGAGCUUGCUCCUGUAACUUAGUGGCGGACGGGUGAGUAACGCGUGAGCAACCUGCCUUACAGAGGGGGAUAGCCAUUGGAAACGAUGGAUAAUACCGCAUAACGUAUAGAUAUGGCAUCGUAUUUAUACCAAAGGAGCAAUCCGCUGUAAGAUGGGCUCGCGUCCGAUUAGAUAGUUGGCGGGGCAACGGCCCACCAAGUCGACGAUCGGUAGCCGGACUGAGAGGUUGAACGGCCACAUUGGGACUGAGACACGGCCCAGACUCCUACGGGAGGCAGCAGUGAGGGAUAUUGCACAAUGGGCGAAAGCCUGAUGCAGCAACGCCGCGUGAGGGAAGACGGUUUUCGGAUUGUAAACCUCUGUUCUAAGUGAAGAUAAUGACAUUAGCUUAGGAGAAAGCCACGGCUAACUACGUGCCAGCAGCCGCGGUAAUACGUAGGUGGCAAGCGUUGUCCGGAUUUACUGGGUAUAAAGGGAGCGCAGGCGGGAUAGCAAGUCAGCGGUGAAAUGCAUGGGCUUAACCCAUGAACUGCCGUUGAAACUGUUAUUCUUGAGUGAAGUAGAGGCAAGCGGAAUUCCGAGUGUAGCGGUGAAAUGCGUAGAUAUUCGGAGGAACACCAGUGGCGAARGCGGCUUGCUGGGCUUUUACUGACGCUGAGGCUCGAAAGUGUGGGGAGCAAACAGGAUUAGAUACCCUGGUAGUCCACACUGUAAACGAUGAUUACUAGGUGUGGGGGGUCUGACCCCUUCCGUGCCGCAGCUAACGCAAUAAGUAAUCCACCUGGGGAGUACGGCCGCAAGGCUGAAACUCAAAGGAAUUGACGGGGGCCCGCACAAGCAGUGAAUUAUGUGGUUUAAUUCGACGCAACGCGAAGAACCUUACCAGGUCUUGACAUCGAGUGACGAGUUUAGAGAUAAGCUUUUCCUUCGGGACACGAAGACAGGUGGUGCAUGGUUGUCGUCAGCUCGUGUCGUGAGAUGUUGGGUUAAGUCCCGCAACGAGCGCAACCCCUGCCAUUAGUUGCUACGCAAGAGCACUCUAAUGGGACCGCUACCGACAAGGUGGAGGAAGGUGGGGACGACGUCAAAUCAUCAUGCCCCUUAUGACCUGGGCUACACACGUAAUACAAUGGCCGUAAACAGAGGGAAGCGACCCCGCGAGGGUGAGCAAACCCCUAAAAGCGGUCUCAGUUCGGUUCGCAGGCUGCAACCCG
This 1293-nucleotide ribosomal RNA is filed under the name uncultured bacterium. Its description in RNAcentral is "bacterial SSU rRNA". It matches the Rfam family "Bacterial small subunit ribosomal RNA", at positions 1 to 1314 of the family's 1533-position model. The record is from RNAcentral.